Gasterosteus aculeatus aculeatus (three-spined stickleback) is the source of this 2858-nucleotide long non-coding RNA. The record is from Ensembl. NCBI's taxonomy places the organism in Eukaryota, Metazoa, Chordata, Actinopteri, Perciformes, Gasterosteidae.
CUUUGUUUCCUGUUUGGAUUUCUCGGGCUGUUUGUUUCCCCUCUGAGCCUGAGCGAACUCACAGGUUCCCGAAUGUGCCGCUGUCGUCACACGCCUGCUGCAUUGCUCACAUUCCUCGCAUACCUCCCCGGCUGUUUGGGAGGCAGGAAUGCGGCGGCGCGGCGCGGACGCCAACAAAGCUCGAAAAAUCCGUUUAUGGAAGAGCUUUGAUGAGCGGAGACUGUGGAUCCGUGAGACGCCGCGAGACAGGAGGAAAGUCUGCCGGGUUGGGGGGAGAGAAGGAGCGCUUGAUUCGCGAGCGGUCCCGGGUGGGGGGAAACACCUCCCCGGGCUGAAUCACUGUCUGUAAAUGUGGUGUGGGAGUCAGACGGCACGGAUCCAGUGUGCAGAGUCUGUGUGGUCCCCCUUUCUGCAGGGACGGAUUAAAGUCUGCUCUCCGGGUUUACCACACGUCUGGAGCCAGAAAGGCCUCAUUUAGGGCCCCAGACGGGCGGAGUCGGCGUAGAGCGGAGGUGGGGCAGACGACCACAGCGCCGUCUGAUACGGUGACAGUCGCCGGCUUUAAUGAAGUGGUAUUUUUAGAAGAAGUGAGGCGGGAGGAUUUGGAUAUUCCUCCGGAUUGCGAACGCUCAGAGUCGAGAGAAGCACCUCAGAGGAGCCGCGUGGAAACGAUCGGACCUGAGGUGAGGAGACGAAGGGACCUGAGGUGAGGAGACGAAGGCCCUGAGGUGAGGAGACGAAGGCCCUGAGGUGAGGAGACGAAGGACCUGAGGUGAGGAGACGAAGGGACCUGAGGUGAGGAGACGAAGGACCUGAGGUGAGGAGACGAAGGGACCUGAGGUGAGGAGACGAAGGGACCUGAGGUGAGGAGACAAAGGACCUGAGGUGAGGAGACGAAGGCCCGGAGGUGAGGAGACGAAGGACCUGAGGUGAGGAGACGAAGGCCCUGAGGUGAGGAGACGAAGGACCUGAGGUGAGGAGACGAAGGACCUGAGGUGAGGAGACGAAGGCCCUGAGGUGAGGAGACGAAGGGACCUGAGGUGAGGAGACGAAGGCCAACGAGAGCGUCCUGUUUGAUCUCUUCUGCAGGACUCGUCAUGUGAUCAGCAGGGACCAAUCGCACCUGCUCACCGGCAGCAAGCUCCUCCGCUCGCCUCCUCGGGACGGAAAUCAAGCAUCAAACAUCUUAAUUAAAGUCAUUCAUGAAAAUCGGUCGUUUAUUCCUCUGUUAUGAAAUGUGUUUCUCAGUCUAUAAUUAUUAGGGUUGAUCAGCACCUAAUAACCAAAAUAAAAGAACAUUUAGUUUAGAACAGAAACACACCUGACAGAGAGAUGUUACACGUUUAAUUAAAAUAAUGAAUUUAUUAUUCAUUAAAGGAUGCAUAAGAAUAAAAAGUGCCCGCUGACAUUUCCCCCCCUUCUCUCCUCGUUAAAGUCAACGUGUGAAAGCCGGACUUUUGCUGUGAUGAGUUUAUAGUUUCAUAACGAGUUUCUAAGAAAGAAAAAUGUUAAUAGAAGCUUUUAAUACGUCCCCUAAAUAUGGUUUUAAUAUGUUUGCAUGAGCCUGCCUGACGCUCCGCCCCCCCUGUGCUGCACCCAGAGCUCAUUUCUGUGUUUUACUUUAUCAACUUAUCAAACAGACCGACAGCCGCUUCCUGCAGACACGUUGGAAAUAAACAGUUUGAUGUCAUCAUGAAAUAAACAGUUUGAUGUCAUCAUGAAAUAAACAGUUUGAUGUCAUCAUGAAAUAAACAGUUUGAUGUCAUCAUGAAAUAAACAGUUUGAUGUCAUCAUGAAAUAAACAGUUUGCUGUCUUCAUGACAUGAAGAGUUUGCUGUCUUCAUGAGAUGAAGAGUUUGAUGAAGAGUUUGCUGUCUUCAUGAGAUGAAGAGUUUGAUGAAGAGUUUGCUGUCUUCAUGAGAGGAAGAGGCAUCAGGAUGAAACUGAAACGUUUUCUUCUUUCACAACGUGUUGAAAAUAAAGACGCAACGAGUCUCGUCUCUGAACUUCUCAUGCAAAUCCGCUGCAGCUUUAAAGAAGUCUUUACUGACAUUAAUCACAUGAUUUCCAUGACAUUUGCAUGUCAUUUGCAUGGACAGAGACAUUUCCCAAAGCUGCUCAUUGUCUUCAUGGACUCCGGACCUUCGUCCUUUAACUGCCGGGGUCGGAGGCUGUUAAACCGAACAGAAGAGGCCGAGAGCUUUGUAACCACCUGUGGUUCCACAAAGGCUCCGGUCUGAAAUGCUCACACCGGGUCAGUUUGGGAGGAAACGCCGCUUUACCCAUGAGCCUCGGCUGCUGCUGCUGCGGAGCAGAAGAAGAAGAAGAAGAAAUGAGGCAGUGGAGAGAUUUUAACCCAUGGAUGUUUAUCAGCAGAAUGAGAUGUUCUGUGAGGAGCUUUGUUAGUGAAAUGCAAUAAAAUGUAAUGUGUCAUAAGGCCGAUAUUUUCAAGUUACACUUGAAGAGUUUGACUUUAAAUAUGAAUCAUAGAAUUAUGUAUUUUUAUUUGUGAAAACAUGCAUCAUUCUGUAAAUUAUUUUAUGACUUCAAAGGAACACGUUUCUCUAUCAAGUGAAAAUAAUAUUGAUUUUAUUUGUUAUGAGAUUAAUUUGGAGGUUGAGAUGAUUUCAGAGGAAACACACACACACACAUACACACACACACACACACACACACACACAUAUUUCUAACAAACAUCCAGCAUUUUGUGUGAUGAAACGUUUUCUAGCUCUCUAUAAAUCUGCUGUGUGACUCAAUCUGUCCCAAUAAAUCUUCAAUAACAUCGUUAUUCAUUCUGUAAUUUGCAACUCGUUCUAAACUGUGUAAAUUUGCCCAAACCGGAUUUAGACAGAAAUAAA